Molecule: ribosomal RNA, 500 nt
Filed under: uncultured bacterium
Lineage: Bacteria
Description: partial 16S ribosomal RNA
Rfam family: Bacterial small subunit ribosomal RNA
Source: RNAcentral
AUUGAACGCUGGCGGAAUGCUUUACACAUGCAAGUCGAACGGCAGCACGGACUUCGGUCUGGUGGCGAGUGGCGAACGGGUGAGUAAUGUAUCGGAACGUGCCCAGUCGGGGGGGAUAACGUAGUGAAAAUUACGCUAAUACCGCAUACGAUCUAUGGAUGAAAGCGGGGGAUCGCAAGACCUCGCGCGAUUGGAGCGGCCGAUAGCAGAUUAGGUAGUUGGUGGGGUAAAGGCCCACCAAGCCAACGAUCUGUAGCUGGUCUGAGAGGACGACCAGCCACACUGGAACUGAGACACGGUCCAGACUCCUACGGGAGGCAGCAGUGGGGAAUUUUGGACAAUGGGCGAAAGCCUGAUCCAGCCAUUCCGCGUGCAGGAUGAAGGCCCUCGGGUUGUAAACUGCUUUUGUACAGAACGAAAAGGUUUCUACUAAUACUAGGAGCUCAUGACGGUACUGUAAGAAUAAGCACCGGCUAACUACGUGCCAGCCGCCGCAGUAA